GAUGAACGCUGGCGGCGUGCCUAAUACAUGCAAGUCGAGCGACCGGACGAGAAGCUUGCUUUUCUGAUGUUAGCGGCGGACGGGUGAGUAACACGUGGAUCCCCUACCUAUAAGACUGGGAUAACUUCGGGAAACCGGAGCUAAUACCGGAUAAUAUUUUGAACCGCAUGGUUCAAAAGUGAAAGAGGGUCUUGCUGUCACUUAUAGAUGGUGCCGCGCUGCCUUAGCUAGUUGGUAAGGUAACGGCUAACCAAGGCAACGAAGCUUAGCCGGCCUGAGAGGGUGAUCGGCCACACUGGAACUGAGACCCGGUCCAGACUCCUACGGGAGGCAGCAGUAGGGAAUCUUCCGCAAUGGGCGAAAGCCUGACGGAGCAACGCCGCGUGAGUGAUGAAGGUCUUCGGAUCGUAAAACUCUGUUAUUAGGGAAGAACAUAUGUGUAAGUAACUGUGCACAUCUUGACGGUACCUAAUCAGAAAGCCACGGCUAACUACGUG
This 497-nucleotide ribosomal RNA is filed under the name uncultured bacterium. RNAcentral describes it as "partial 16S ribosomal RNA". It matches the Rfam family "Bacterial small subunit ribosomal RNA", at positions 28 to 507 of the family's 1533-position model. The record is from RNAcentral.